Molecule: ribosomal RNA, 468 nt
Filed under: uncultured bacterium
Lineage: Bacteria
Description: partial 16S ribosomal RNA
Rfam family: Bacterial small subunit ribosomal RNA
Source: RNAcentral
GACGAACGCUGGCGGCGUGCUUAACACAUGCAAGUCGAACGGAAAGGCCCUGCUUUUGUGGGGUGCUCGAGUGGCGAACGGGUGAGUAACACGUGAGUAACCUGCCCUUGACUUUGGGAUAACAUCAGGAAACUGGGGCUAAUACCGGAUAGGAGCUCCUGCUGCAUGGGGGGGGUUGGAAAGUUUCGGCGGUUGGGGAUGGACUCGCGGCUUAUCAGCUUGUUGGUGAGGUAGUGGCUUACCAAGGCUUUGACGGGUAGCCGGCCUGAGAGGGUGACCGGCCACAUUGGGACUGAGAUACGGCCCAGACUGCUACGGGAGGCAGCAGUGGGGAAUAUUGCACAAUGGGCGGAAGCCUGAUGCAGCAGCGCCGCGUGCGGGAUGACGGCCUUCGGGUUGUAAACCGCUUUCGACUGUGACGAAGCGUGAGUGACGGUAAUGGGUAAAGAAGCACCGGCUAACUACGUG